This is an RNA transcript of Cebus imitator (Panamanian white-faced capuchin), 1969 nucleotides long. It is a transcript of the gene named protein jagged-1-like, with no coding region annotated. The record is from RefSeq and is a predicted model, not a curated record. Lineage: Eukaryota; Metazoa; Chordata; Mammalia; Primates; Cebidae. The transcript has a single exon.
GGUGGCUAUGUGAGGGCCACCCCCAAAGGAAAGACCUGCCACUCUCGUGACAGCCAGUGUGACGAGGCCAUGUGCAACAAUGGUGGCACUUGCUAUGAUGAGGGGGAUGCUUUUAAAUGCAUGUGUCCUGGUGGCUGGGAAGGAACCACCUGUAACAUAGCACGAAACAGUAGCUGCCUUCCCAAACCCUGCCAUAAUGGGGGCACAUGUGUGGUCAAUGGCGAGUCAUUUAUGUGCGUCUGCAAGGAAGGCUGGGAGGGGCCCAUCUGUGCUCAGAAUACUAAUGACUGCAGCCCUCAUCCCUGUUACAACAGCGGCACCUGUGUGGAUGGAGACAACUGGUACCGGUGCAAAUGUGCCCCGGGUUUUGCUGGGCACGACUGCAGAAUAAACAUCAAUGAAUGCCAGCCUUCACCUUGUGCCUUUGGGGCAACCUGUGUGGAUGAGAUCAAUGGCUACUGGUGUGCCUGUCCCCCAGGGCACAGUGGUGCCAAGUGCCAGGAAGUUUCAGGAAGACCUUGCAGUGUGAUACCAGGUGGGGCCAAAUGGGAUGAUGACUGUAACACCUGCCAGUGUCUGAAUGGACGGAUUGCCUGCUCAAAGGUCUGGUGUGGCCAUUGACCUUGCCUGCUCCACAAAGGGCACAGCAAGUGCCCCAGUGGCAGAGCUGUAUCCCCAUCCUGGACGACCAGUGCUUCGUCCACCCCUGCACUGGUGUGGGCGAGUGUCGGUCCUCCGGUCUCCAGCCGGUGAAGAUGAAGUGCACCUCUGGCUCCUAUUACCAGGAUAAUUGUGCAAACAUCACGUUCACCUUUAACAAGGAGAUGAUGUCACCAGGUCUUACCACUGGGCACAUUUGCAGUGAAUUGAGGAAUCUGAAUAUUUUGAAGAAUGUUUCUGCUGAAUAUUCAAUCUAUAUCGCUUGUGAGCCUUCUUCUGCGAACAAUGAAAUACACGUGGCCAUUUCUGCUGAAGAUAUAUGGGAUGAUGGAAACCCAGUCAAGGAAAUCACCGACAAAAUCAUCGAUCUUGUUAGUAAACGUGAUGGAAACAGCUCAUUGAUUGCUGCCGUUGCAGAAGUAAAAGUUCAGAGGCAGCCUCAGAAGAACAGAACAGAUUUCCUGGUGCCCUUGCUGAGCUCUGUCUUAACCAUGGCUUGGAUCUGUUGCUUGGCAACGGCCUUGUACUGGUGCCUGUGGAAGAGGUGGAAGCCAGGCAGCCACACACACUCAGCCUCUGAGGACAACACCACCAACAACGUGCGGGAGCAGCUGAACCAGAUCAAAAACCCCAUUGAGAAACAUGGGGCCAACACGGUCCCCAUCAAGGAUUACGAGAACAAAAACUCCAAAAUAUCUAAAAUAAGGACACACAACUCUGAAGUCAAAGAGGAUGACAUGGAUAAACACCAGCAGAAAGCCUGGUUUGCCAAGCAGCAGUGUACACGCUGGUAGACAGAGAAGAGAAGCCUCCCAACAGCAUGCCGACAAAACACCCAAACUGGACAAACAAAUAGGACAACCGAGACUUGGAAAGUGCCCCAAGCUUAAACCGGAUGGAGUACAUUGUAUAGCAGACAGUGGGCGCUGCUGCCGCUAGGUAGAGUCUGAGGGCUUGUAGUUAUUUAAACUGUCGUGUCAUACUCGAGUCUGAGGCUGUUGUUGACUUAGAAUCCCUGUGUUAAUUUAAGUUUUGACAAGCUGGCUUACACUGGCAAUGGUAGUUUCUGUGGUUGGCUGGGAAAUCGAGUGCCGCAUCUCACGGCUAUGCAAAAAUGAGUCGACAGUACCCUGGUUGUUUGUCCCCCUGCAGCAGACAGUUCUCUGAUCGGGCUUCCAGGAGCCUGCCCAGUCCCCCGCCCCCCCAGUCUUUGAGCUCCCACUUCUGCCAGAUGUCCUAAUGGUGAUGCAGUCUUAGAUCAUAAUUUUAUUUAUAUUUAUUGACUCUUGAGUUGUUUUUGUAUAUUGGU